Molecule: long non-coding RNA, 627 nt
Filed under: Pectinophora gossypiella (pink bollworm)
Lineage: Eukaryota; Metazoa; Arthropoda; Insecta; Lepidoptera; Gelechiidae
Description: uncharacterized LOC126381371
Source: RNAcentral
AUGGCAAUAAACUGUGUAGGAGUUUAUUAUUGCAAUAGAAUAAAAUCGACCAAGCCUGAAGUCAGCAGCCCCUUCAAUGAAUGCAGCAGUGUGACAGCCAACAAUCAAAAGUUACAAGAUAUCGAGGAAAUGCAGAAGGCAAAAAACUGCGUAGGAGAUCAUUAAUACAAAAGUAUUAUAUAAACCAAACCUGAUGUUGCCAGCUCCUUCAAUGAAUGCAGCAGUGUGACAGCCAGCAAUCAAAAGUAACAAGAUAUCGAGGAAAUGCAGAAGGCAAAAAACUGCGUAGGAGAUCAUUAAUACAAUAGUAUUAUAUAAACCAAGCCUGAUGUUGGCCGCUCAUUCAAAGAAUGCAGCAGUGUGACAGCCAGCAAUCAAAAGUAACAAGAUGUCGAGGAAAUGCAGAGUGCAAUAAACUUUGUAGGAGAUUAUGAUUGCAAUAGAAUAAAAUCGACCAAGCCUGAAGUUCUUCAAUGCACGCAGCAGUGUGACAGCCAGCAAUCAAAAGUUACAAGAUAUCGAGGAAAUGCAGAAGGCAAAAAACUGCGUAGGAGAUUAUUAAUACAAUAGUAUUAUAUCAACCAAGCCUGAUGUCGGUAGCUUCUUCAAUGAAUGCAGCAGUGUGAC